GGAAAGAUAGAUGGAGGAAGUGG
RNAcentral lists this non-coding RNA (23 nucleotides) under Cricetulus griseus (Chinese hamster). Lineage: Eukaryota; Metazoa; Chordata; Mammalia; Rodentia; Cricetidae. The record is from RNAcentral.